Molecule: ribosomal RNA, 430 nt
Filed under: uncultured archaeon
Lineage: Archaea
Description: bacterial SSU rRNA
Rfam family: Archaeal small subunit ribosomal RNA
Source: RNAcentral
UACCGGCGGCUCGAGUGGUGACCACUUUUAUUGGGCUUAAAGCGUCCGUAGCUGGAUUGUUAAGUCUCUUGGGAAAUCUCACGGCUUAACCGUGAGGCGUCUAAGAGAUACUGGCAAUCUUGGGACCGGAAGAGGUGAGAGGUACUCCGGGGGGUAGGAGUGAAAUCCUGUAAUCCUCGGGGGACCACCUGUGGCGAAGGCGUCUCACCAGGACGGCUCCGACAGUGAGGGACGAAAGCUGGGGGAGCAAACCGGAUUAGAUACCCGGGUAGUCCCAGCCGUAAACGAUGCGCGUUAGGUGUAUCGGCGACCACGAGUCGCUGAGGUGCCGAAGGGAACCGUGAAACGUGCCGCCUGGGAAGUACGGUCGCAAGGCUGAAACUUAAAGGAAUUGGCGGGGGAGCACCACAAGGCGUGAAGCUUGCGGCUC